AGAACUUUCUGGGCCAGGGAUUGAGCCUGCAUCACAGCAAUGACAAUGCCAGAUCCUAAACCACUAGACCACAAGUGAACUCUGUAAUGUGUCAUUUUUAACUAGCCGCUUUUAAGAUUUGCAGUUGGACUAUGACAUGUAAUAGUUAUCCUGCUUAGUGUUUGACGGGCUUCUUGAACCUGUAAAUUUAUGUCUUUCACAAAAUUUGGGAAGCUAUUUGCCAUUAUUUCUUUAAACUUUUUUAUGCCCAUUCUUUUUCACUUCUCCUUCUGAAAUUCUAAUAUGGGCCUUUUGAAAUUGUUGCCCUAAGGCUUUAUUGUUUAUUUUAUUUUGCUUCAAUAUUCUUCUCUCUUUUCUUUAGAUUGGACAAUUUGCAUUAGUCUUCAAAUUCACAGAUUUUCCUCUGCUAUCAUUUUAUGGUUUGAUUAAUCUCUUCCAGUGAUAUUUUUAUUCCAGAUAGUCUUAUUACAGAUAUUGUAUUUUUCAGUUUUAAAAUUUCCAUUUGGUAUUACAAAGUAUUUUCUAUUUUUCUGUUGAGAUUUUUACUUUUCAUUCACUGAACAUAUUGUAAAAGCUGCUUUAAAAUCUUUGAUAAUUUCAACAUUUGAAUUAUCUCAGGACUGACUUCUGCUAAUUGUCUUUUCCCCUGAGACAAGGUCAUAUUUUUCAUGUUCUUUGUAUGUCUCAUAAUUUUGGGUUGUAUCUUGGACAUCAUAAUUGUUAUGUUUCAGAGACUCUGGAUUUCUCAUAUUCUUCUGAAGAGGGUCAGUUAUAGUAUUUUUGAUUUAGUAGGGAAUUAACUUUCUCUUAAUUACACUUAAUCUGUAAUCUGUUUCUGCUGUGACUGAUGUCAGCUCAAAUCUCAAUUUUCCUUUAGUCUUUGUUCUUCGUUGCUUUGAGUUUGUCCUGCUUAUGUGUGAUACAGGGAUCAGCUGAUGACAUGGGCAUAGCUGAUAUACAAAAUUUGGGAUUCUUCAUCUCCUGUUCUCUCCUCAGGAUUCCCUUCAAGCCCCAAGCUCCAUCUCUUAGUUCGUCAGGCUAAAAAUAUGGCAGGAUUUCUAUUGGAGUUUCAGCUAGCCCAUGCUAUGACGAGAUUAUAGCUCUGACCAAAACCACAAAAACAGGAAACAUUUUGUGUUGGUUCCUUUCUCCAAGUUUUUUACUCUCCUCCAANGUGGCAUAUGGAGCGGCCUUAGAAAAGGCAAAAAGACAAAAAAGAAAAAAAUAAAUAAAAAAUAAAAAAUUACAGAGGUAAUGAGGUUGGGACCAGAUCUUAUAGGGCAAGAUGUCCUAUCUUUUCUAAUCUUACUCCUAGUCUCCCUUAUCCUGAGGUCUUAUUAAUUCAUGUCUGCAACAGCUUCUAACUCAUCUCAUCCAUUUUCCAGUUUAACCUAUAUAAUGCCACUGUGAUAACUGGAAAAUACCACCUUCAACAUGUCAUUCCCCUCUGCGCAAGGAUUCAGAAAAGUUAUCAAAUACAUCAAGUCUAAAUUAGUCUAUAGGAUUUUUAGGACUACCCUUAUUUACUCUUGUCUCUAGUGAUUUUUUUCUGAUCAUUUACUGAGCUCUUUCUUUGUUCAAGGAGCUGUGACCAAAGAUGGGUAAGAAACAGGUUCAAGACGUGGAGUUUGCUGUCAACAUAAACUUUCUUCCUAGGUCUGAGAGCCUUUUCCAAUUUCUUGCAUACAUGCAUUGAUGUCUUUAUAUUUCUAACUCAAGAUUUUGCUAUUUUUGCCCUUGAAUAUCUUCUCUUCUUGAACUUCCAACAUAAUCCAAAAUUCUUCUAUGGUUAUAAGGCCCUGCAUAAUCUAGUCCCUCACUAUUUCUUCUUGUGAUCACCUCUUGUGAUAUCCUUUUCAUCCCUCACUCUAUAGUCCAGUGACAUUGACUACCUCUCAGUUCUCUAAAUGUACUAAGUUUUUCCCUGUGUCUAGACCUUCUUCUGCCUAGGUCACAUUAUCCACUCCUUUUGCUUACUCACACUUUAAGCCUUUGUUUGAGUGACCUGAGAACUUCCUUCCCUAACUCCAAUCUAUACAAGGUUUCACAGCAUCUUGUAAGAUCAUGUGUUUAAUGGGUUAUUACAAAGAGUUGCUCUCUCUACUAGAUCAUAAGCUCCAGGAAGAGGAGUAGAACUGUCUCUAGCUCACCACAGUAUCCUGGCUACUCUUUAAUCCAUCUAAUUUCAUUUUCUCCAAGAGUGCUCAAGAUCUUCUAAGUUUCUCAACGACCCUUUUCUUCCCUGACUUGUUUUGUUUUUUAAUAAAAUAGUUCUUCAAAUGUUGAAUUCAAAACCCUGGUGACAAUGAUCCAGCUCACCAUGACAGGAAAAACCAUCUCUCCUAGUGUAUCAUUGUAGAGCUGAUUGUAUUUCCUUCCCAAACCAUACAAUUUAAUCCUAAAUAAAGCCUGAAAUGUACUUGGGCAGAAAAAACAUAUAAAACAAACAGCAUUUGGACAGGACUUCUUUUUUUUUUUUUUUUUUUUUUUUUGCUUAAAAAGUUCUAUAAAAGUUUCUGUCUUAACAGGUUAUAUUUUGCUUGUUUGUUUUGCCCCGACUUCUUAUUGUGUUAAAGUCUUGCCACAUGUCAAUAAGACAUCUGCCCAUCUUACUUUUCCAUUCAGCUUGUCUGGUACUUAAAAUUGGGAAUAACAUGUUCCAUAUAUUUUAAGAAUCCUAUAAUGCUCUGGUCAGACGUCAGUGGCAGGGACAUUUCUUUUUAAUCUCUAAAUCACUUGCAGUUAUUGCAGGAGCCCACAACCAAGAAAUCCUCAGUAAAUGUUUGCUAAACUGUUCAAUUAAAUGUAAAUUGGUUGAUUCACAGGUGACUGAUUGGUACUUAUUUGGUAGAUAGACUUAUUUACUCAUUCAUUCAAUAACUAUUUAUGUAAUGCUCUAACAUCCAAAGUCCUAUGCUUAGCACUGGGGAGAAAAUGGAACAAAAGACACACAAGGAAUCUCCCAUUUCAGUAGGGGAAAUCUACAUGUGUAUUACCAUGUAUCUACAUGUAUUACUAUAUAAUAUCUAGUAAUGGGAUAAUGCUUUGUACAGGUAUCAUCAUGCACACAAUGAAGUCCCAGGAUUGGUUCUAUUCAUGAUUAUUGAGGAAGGUUUUAUAAAGUUGAGUUGUAAAGAAUGGACAGAAGUUUACCAAGCCAACAAAGGUAGAGAGGAACAAAAGAAGGCAUGUUUACCAGUAAGUCAUCAAGAGUAAAACAAGACACAUGAAAUAAGGUUAGAGAAACAGCCAGAAUUAUAUCACACUGUACUUUUUAUACCAUGCUACAUAACAACUGCUUUUAGUCUAAGUGAGAGAUGCAGUUUUAAGAGAGAUGUACAGUGAUGGUGUGAAAGAGAACUCAGGGUAGGAAGACAGAUUCAGGGAGUAUAUGUCUAGGGAGAAAUGUGAAGGAUCUGAGAUGUCAGUGAGGAUAAAGUGAGGGUAGUGAUUUGAUUGAUAUUAGGAGACAGAAGUUAACAGGAGACAGUGAUUCACUGGGAAGGGAAGAAGAUAUAGAGGGAGGAGCCUAAGAGGACUCCUAAGUUUCUGAUGGGGAUCUCUGAGCAAAUGGUAAUGCUUUCACCUGACUUAAGGAGUACAGAAAGAAGUAUACAUGUGAGGAGAGAAAAUUAAUGCAGUUUAGAAAUGUUAAUGGAUAUCUGAAGGACAUCCAAGGGCUUAUGUCUGGUAGGAAAAAGGAAAUGAGGACCUGAAGCUCAGGGGAGAGUUCUUAAUUAGAGAUUUAGAUUUCAAGGCCAAAUAUUUAUGAUUCUGUUUCAAAUGACAAAAUGUCACAAAAUAGCGCUACCAAGGCCCUGCCAGCUGCUGCUUCUGCCCUCAAGCAGAUCAUCUAACACUCAUCAGUCAACAUAUAUCAGAAUGCACUACGUGGGUUUGCAAUUUGUCCUUCACUUUAGCCCCUCUAGGUCUGCCUGUGGUAUCAGCAAGGAUACUUGGGGUCUUCUCUUGAGCUUGCUCCCCUACUCACAUGUGUUCUUUGGCACAGAGGUGAGAGUGUCCAGGCAAUACUGAACACUGGAUUAGCACCAUUUCAUUGGAGACUAGACUAGAAAUAUUUGAUUGGAAAGAGUCACUUAAAGAGUUACCUAGAAAAGAAACAAACUGACUGCUCUGUAUAAACACUCUUUGGACCUGAUGUAAUAUAUCCCUAACUUUUUGUGACUUCUGACAACUACUUUAAGAAAGUAAUAUAUGACCAAUUUAAUAACUAAUCAUAAUGAAAGCAUAAUUAUCUGAUAAUGCCAGGUCAGAGAUCAUCCAACUACAUAAAUCCUAAUGGAAAGAAGAACAUUAACUGAUUAAACCUAGAUCUAAAAUUCCACUUAUGGAGUUCCUGUCGUGGUGUAGCGGAAACGAAUCUGACUAGGAACCAUAAGGUUUCAGGUUUGAUCCCUGGCCUCACUCAGUGGGUUAAGGAUCUGGCAUUACCGUGGCUCUGGUGAAGGCCGGCAGCUGUAGCUCCGAUUAGACCCCUAGCCUGGGAACCUCCAUACGCUGCGAGUGAGGCCCUAAAAAGCAAAUAAAUAAAUAAUAAAAUAAAAUAAAAUUCUAUUUAUUUAUUAGCUCAUUCUCUUUGUUUUGGCCAUGCCCAUGGAAUGUGGAGGUUUCUGGGUCAGGGAUCAAACCCACACCACAGCAGUGACUCAAGCCACUGCUACGACAAUGCCAGAUCCUUAAACUGCUGCACCAUAAGAGAACUCCUAAUAGUUCAUUCUUUUUUUAUUUCUUUUUCUUUCUUGGCUGUCCCAUGACAUGUGGAGUUCCCAGGCCACAGAUAAGAUCCAAGCUGCAGUUGCAACCUACAAUGCAGCUGAAGCAAUGCUGGAUCUUUUAACCCACUGUGCUGGGCCAGGGAUCAAAUCUGCUUCUUGGCACUGCAGAGAUGC
RNAcentral lists this long non-coding RNA (4910 nucleotides) under Sus scrofa (pig). RNAcentral's name for it is "lncRNA (ENSSSCG00030072068.1)". The record is from RNAcentral. Lineage: Eukaryota; Metazoa; Chordata; Mammalia; Artiodactyla; Suidae.